ACUAAGCGUACACGGUGGAUGCCCUGGCAGUCAGAGGCGAUGAAGGACGUGCUAAUCUGCGAUAAGCGUCGGUAAGGUGAUAUGAACCGUUAUAACCGGCGAUUUCCGAAUGGGGAAACCCAGUGUGAUUCGUCACACUAUCAUUAACUGAAUCCAUAGGUUAAUGAGGCGAACCGGGGGAACUGAAACAUCUAAGUACCCCGAGGAAAAGAAAUCAACCGAGAUUCCCCCAGUAGCGGCGAGCGAACGGGGAGCAGCCCAGAGCCUGAAUCAGUGUGUGUGUUAGUGGAAGCGUCUGGAAAGGCGUGCGAUACAGGGUGACAGCCCCGUACACAAAAAUGCACAUACUGUGAGCUCGAUGAGUAGGGCGGGACACGUGGUAUCCUGUCUGAAUAUGGGGGGACCAUCCUCCAAGGCUAAAUACUCCUGACUGACCGAUAGUGAACCAGUACCGUGAGGGAAAGGCGAAAAGAACCCCGGCGAGGGGAGUGAAAAAGAACCUGAAACCGUGUACGUACAAGCAGUGGGAGCACGCUUAGGCGUGUGACUGCGUACCUUUUGUAUAAUGGGUCAGCGACUUAUAUUCUGUAGCAAGGUUAACCGAAUAGGGGAGCCGAAGGGAAACCGAGUCUUAACUGGGCGUUAAGUUGCAGGGUAUAGACCCGAAACCCGGUGAUCUAGCCAUGGGCAGGUUGAAGGUUGGGUAACACUAACUGGAGGACCGAACCGACUAAUGUUGAAAAAUUAGCGGAUGACUUGUGGCUGGGGGUGAAAGGCCAAUCAAACCGGGAGAUAGCUGGUUCUCCCCGAAAGCUAUUUAGGUAGCGCCUCGUGAAUUCAUCUCCGGGGGUAGAGCACUGUUUCGGCAAGGGGGUCAUCCCGACUUACCAACCCGAUGCAAACUGCGAAUACCGGAGAAUGUUAUCACGGGAGACACACGGCGGGUGCUAACGUCCGUCGUGAAGAGGGAAACAACCCAGACCGCCAGCUAAGGUCCCAAAGUCAUGGUUAAGUGGGAAACGAUGUGGGAAGGCCCAGACAGCCAGGAUGUUGGCUUAGAAGCAGCCAUCAUUUAAAGAAAGCGUAAUAGCUCACUGGUCGAGUCGGCCUGCGCGGAAGAUGUAACGGGGCUAAACCAUGCACCGAAGCUGCGGCAGCGACGCUUAUGCGUUGUUGGGUAGGGGAGCGUUCUGUAAGCCUGUGAAGGUGUGCUGUGAGGUAUGCUGGAGGUAUCAGAAGUGCGAAUGCUGACAUAAGUAACGAUAAAGCGGGUGAAAAGCCCGCUCGCCGGAAGACCAAGGGUUCCUGUCCAACGUUAAUCGGGGCAGGGUGAGUCGACCCCUAAGGCGAGGCCGAAAGGCGUAGUCGAUGGGAAACAGGUUAAUAUUCCUGUACUUGGUGUUACUGCGAAGGGGGGACGGAGAAGGCUAUGUUGGCCGGGCGACGGUUGUCCCGGUUUAAGCGUGUAGGCUGGUUUUCCAGGCAAAUCCGGAAAAUCAAGGCCGAGGCGUGAUGACGAGGCACUACGGUGCUGAAGCAACAAAUGCCCUGCUUCCAGGAAAAGCCUCUAAGCAUCAGGUAACAUCAAAUCGUACCCCAAACCGACACAGGUGGUCAGGUAGAGAAUACCAAGGCGCUUGAGAGAACUCGGGUGAAGGAACUAGGCAAAAUGGUGCCGUAACUUCGGGAGAAGGCACGCUGAUACGUAGGUGAAGCGACUUGCUCGUGGAGCUGAAAUCAGUCGAAGAUACCAGCUGGCUGCAACUGUUUAUUAAAAACACAGCACUGUGCAAACACGAAAGUGGACGUAUACGGUGUGACGCCUGCCCGGUGCCGGAAGGUUAAUUGAUGGGGUUAGCGCAAGCGAAGCUCUUGAUCGAAGCCCCGGUAAACGGCGGCCGUAACUAUAACGGUCCUAAGGUAGCGAAAUUCCUUGUCGGGUAAGUUCCGACCUGCACGAAUGGCGUAAUGAUGGCCAGGCUGUCUCCACCCGAGACUCAGUGAAAUUGAACUCGCUGUGAAGAUGCAGUGUACCCGCGGCAAGACGGAAAGACCCCGUGAACCUUUACUAUAGCUUGACACUGAACAUUGAGCCUUGAUGUGUAGGAUAGGUGGGAGGCUUUGAAGUGUGGACGCCAGUCUGCAUGGAGCCGACCUUGAAAUACCACCCUUUAAUGUUUGAUGUUCUAACGUGGACCCGUGAUCCGGGUUUCGGACAGUGUCUGGUGGGUAGUUUGACUGGGGCGGUCUCCUCCUAAAGAGUAACGGAGGAGCACGAAGGUUGGCUAAUCCUGGUCGGACAUCAGGAGGUUAGUGCAAUGGCAUAAGCCAGCUUGACUGCGAGCGUGACGGCGCGAGCAGGUGCGAAAGCAGGUCAUAGUGAUCCGGUGGUUCUGAAUGGAAGGGCCAUCGCUCAACGGAUAAAAGGUACUCCGGGGAUAACAGGCUGAUACCGCCCAAGAGUUCAUAUCGACGGCGGUGUUUGGCACCUCGAUGUCGGCUCAUCACAUCCUGGGGCUGAAGUAGGUCCCAAGGGUAUGGCUGUUCGCCAUUUAAAGUGGUACGCGAGCUGGGUUUAGAACGUCGUGAGACAGUUCGGUCCCUAUCUGCCGUGGGCGCUGGAGAACUGAGGGGGGCUGCUCCUAGUACGAGAGGACCGGAGUGGACGCAUCACUGGUGUUCGGGUUGUCAUGCCAAUGGCACUGCCCGGUAGCUAAAUGCGGAAGAGAUAAGUGCUGAAAGCAUCUAAGCACGAAACUUGCCCCGAGAUGAGUUCUCCCUGACCCUUUAAGGGUCCUGAAGGAACGUUGAAGACGACGACGUUGAUAGGCCGGGUGUGUAAGCGCAGCGAUGCGUUGAGCUAACCGGUACUAAUGAACCGUGAGGCUUAACC
This 2893-nucleotide ribosomal RNA is filed under the name Shigella flexneri. Its description in RNAcentral is "bacterial LSU rRNA". It matches the Rfam family "Bacterial large subunit ribosomal RNA". Lineage: Bacteria; Pseudomonadati; Pseudomonadota; Gammaproteobacteria; Enterobacterales; Enterobacteriaceae. The record is from RNAcentral.